This is a non-coding RNA of Cyanistes caeruleus (blue tit), 2350 nucleotides long. Lineage: Eukaryota; Metazoa; Chordata; Aves; Passeriformes; Paridae. The record is from RefSeq and is a predicted model, not a curated record.
AAACUGCUGGAGAUCAGCAACCAGCAGGAGAGCAGGUGAUGCUCCAGGGAAGGUGAUCCCUACAGGACAGGCUCUUCCUAGGAGGGUGCCACAGGAGAGAAAUUACUUUGUUGACCACCACUUUAAUCACCUUUAAAUGCACCGAGUUUAUUCUAGCAAAAAUCCAACAUUCAGGUUGGAGAAGUUUCCUCAAGCUGCUCAGUUUGUUAAAAACUGAAAGCACAAAUAACCUCUGGAGAGAUCUUUUCUUCCAAAACACAGAUCUUCAGUUCCAAGUCUGAAAUGUCUCCUUCUUCAUAUAGUCAUUUAUCAAAUAAUGUAACAUUAAAGCAACACUCAUCUCUGGUAAUAAACCAAGAAAUGGGAGUUUUGCUUGCAAAAUAAGAUGAAGCUUUAAUAAUAAUCAUAAAAAAGUGAGGGUUUUUUUCCCCCAGUUGGCAAAACCCAGCACUUCCUGCAAAGUGGCAAAUAAGUAACUGAAGAAAAGACAGAGCCUGCUCUGAGCUGUGAGGUUUAAAUCAAAACAUGCACACUUAAAAAAUAUUUCAGAGUUUUAGAGGCCCUAAAAAGGAGGAAGAACAAUUCAUCUGCCUUGGGUUUAGGGUGGUGACUUGGGUUGUUCAAAGAGACAGCACGUGUGUGGUGAUACUCCCCUGGAAAAUGAAGAUAUUCCCCCAUCAAAGCGGGAACCUGCAAACGUGUGUUGCAUAAAGGGGGAAAUUCCAGGCAUUCUUGGGGAAAUUGCAACUUCUCCACUGCAGGACUGAGCCUGUGAAAUGCUUGUAGACCAUCCUGGGAGUCUGUGUCCAGGGCUGGGAGGACAUGCAGGAGAGAGACAGGGGGUCAGAAUGCUCCUGUGUGAGGAGGGAAGGAGGAACUCGUUGUUCCUCAUGGAUUGGACAUUUCUUCCCAGCACAGUGUUGCAGUCAUGCUGAUAACCACAGCUCCACCUGGCCAUCAAUGAUUCCUAGAGACCCUUCCCAGCACUGGGAGGCUGCAAGGAUGAGAAGCAGCAGUGUUUGAGCUGUUAAUUGGAUGGCAUCUCCAUCAUCCUGACUCUGCUGGCAGAGCUGCAAUGAAACUCAAAAUUCCUUUAUUUUCCCCUCAAACCACUCAACGGAGUCCAGCUUGAUGGAAGUGGACAAGGAGCCCUGGAAGGAGAGAGCAGUAUCCAUGUCCCUUCCGUGGGAGCCUUAUUCCCACUCGUGCUGAAUAUUCCCCAAAAUCCAUCAAACCAGUGGGAUCAAACCUGUGACAGCUGUCAGGUAAGCCUUAAUGUAGAGCUGAUCCAUGUUCUCCACCUCCCUUGUGGCCUCACUGCUCUUUUUAGGGCUCCUUUUCUUACUCUUUGGUGUUUGAAAAUCUCCAAAACUCCACGUCUGGAGCUGGAGAGCAGCUCACACACUUUGACAGAUGAAUGAUGUCCUUCUUUGUCUGUUCACUGCAAAAAUAUUCCCCUGCCUUCCUCGCCUUCAUGUGUCCAGUAGCUUUAAGUGGCUUUCCAAAUGUGUUUAUCUGGAAUUCUUUACAUUUUUACCCUCCAUCCCAUGCCUGGGAAGCAACCAGGCCCUUGGAUGCUGGAAUCAGUGCUAAUGUAGGUCUGGUGUGUGGAGUUAUCUAGAGGAGAUGAUCCUGUUGAAGGAAGAAGAGCACAGAAAUCAGUGCCCCCAGUGAAAAUGCAAGUGAUAAAUGUACCCUGCGAGCACAUUCCUGCUCCGUGUGUCCCGGCAUCGCUCACGAUUCCCUCCUAGGAAGAAGGAGAGGGAAGCAGGGAGCUGUAAAUUACAGCCUGGCUUAAUUGGCUGGCUCAGGUACAGGAGGCUGGGCUGGGAAUACACAAAAUAUCUUUAUGUAAAAGAAGUGGUUCUUAGCAGGGGAUGCAGUGAAAUGGGGGUUUCAAGCAGUUGGUGUCUUGUGGUUGGAUCCUCUGGUGUCUGAGAAGGUGCAAACUCCAACUGAACCUUUUCCUGCCAUUGGGGCUUUCUUAAUAUUCCUCCCUCCCCUGUGGAUUCUCUGGUGUCUAAUAAUAUUCCUAAUAAGCUGCAACGUGAGCUCAACAAUUUCUUUCAGUGUGGGGCAUUAAUAGGUCUCAGGGCACGGGAGAGGGCUCUAUUUUCAUAAAACUUGUAGGAACUGUAAGACCUCUGCCCCUUCCACCAAGCUGGGUUGGAAUUGGCCAACAAAUUUGGAAGUUAUUGGAGACGGGGGAGAUGAGUAUGUUUGUUUUAUUUAUAUUUUAUAUAUGUAUCCCACGUGCAGACUGACUGCAGAAACCUCAUUUCUUAAGAGACCGAGCUUAAACCUUAUGUUUUGCUUCUCUAUUGUAAUAAACUGUGUCUCCUUUUAUUUA